UGAUAUUCAGCAGUCAACUUAGGACAUGGUC
This 31-nucleotide non-coding RNA is filed under the name Mus musculus (house mouse). The record is from RNAcentral. Lineage: Eukaryota; Metazoa; Chordata; Mammalia; Rodentia; Muridae.